UGGCCAUACCAUGCUGAAUAUACCGGUUCUCGUUAGAUCACCGAAGUCAAGCAUCAUUGGGCGCGGUCAGUACUUGGGUGGGUGACCACCUGGGAACACCGCGUGCCGU
This 109-nucleotide ribosomal RNA is filed under the name Caerostris darwini. The record is from RNAcentral. Lineage: Eukaryota; Metazoa; Arthropoda; Arachnida; Araneae; Araneidae.